GAUGAACGCUGGCGGCGUGCUUAAUACAUGCAAGUCGCGCGACCACAUGAGGAGCUUGCUCCUCCGACGUUAGCGGCGGACGGGCGAGUAACUCGUGGAUAACCUACCUAUACGUCUGGAAUAACUACGGGAACCCGGGUCUAACACCGGACAAUAUAUUGCAAUGCAUGGCUUCAUAGUGAAACACGGUUUUGCUGUCACUUAUAGAUGGAUCCGCGCGGCUUUAGCUAGUUGGUAAGGUAACGGCUUACCAAGGCAACGAUGCGUAGCCGACCUGAGAGGGGGGUCAGCCACACCGGAACGGAGACGCGGUCCAGACUCCUACGGUAGGCAGCAGAGGGGAAUCUUCCGCAAUGGGCGGAAGCCAGACGUGGCAAAGCCGCGUGGGGUGUAGAGGUCUUCGGAUAGGAGUUCUCUACUAUUAUGGUGGAACAAAAAUGUAAGUAACGAGGCGCGUCUUGAAGGUACCGAAUCAAUAAGCCGCGGCUAACUACGUG
RNAcentral lists this ribosomal RNA (497 nucleotides) under uncultured bacterium. RNAcentral describes it as "partial 16S ribosomal RNA". It matches the Rfam family "Bacterial small subunit ribosomal RNA", at positions 28 to 507 of the family's 1533-position model. The record is from RNAcentral.